Molecule: ribosomal RNA, 682 nt
Filed under: beta proteobacterium LLT3
Lineage: Bacteria; Pseudomonadati; Pseudomonadota; Betaproteobacteria
Description: bacterial SSU rRNA
Rfam family: Bacterial small subunit ribosomal RNA
Source: RNAcentral
AUUGAACGCUGGCGGCAUGCCUUACACAUGCAAGUCGAACGGCAGCACGGAGCUUGCUCUGGUGGCGAGUGGCGAACGGGUGAGUAAUAUAUCGGAACGUACCCUAGAGUGGGGGAUAACGUAGCGAAAGUUACGCUAAUACCGCAUACGAUCUAAGGAUGAAAGUGGGGGAUCGCAAGACCUCAUGCUCGUGGAGCGGCCGAUAUCUGAUUAGCUAGUUGGUAGGGUAAAAGCCUACCAAGGCAUCGAUCAGUAGCUGGUCUGAGAGGACGACCAGCCACACUGGAACUGAGACACGGUCCAGACUCCUACGGGAGGCAGCAGUGGGGAAUUUUGGACAAUGGGCGAAAGCCUGAUCCAGCAAUGCCGCGUGAGUGAAGAAGCCUUCGGGUUGUAAAGCUCUUUUGUCAGGGAAGAAACGGUGAGAGCUAAUAUCUCUUGCUAAUGACGGUACCUGAAGAAUAAGCACCGGCUAACUACGUGCCAGCAGCCGCGGUAAUACGUAGGGUGCAAGCGUUAAUCGGAAUUACUGGGCGUAAAGCGUGCGCAGGCGGUUUUGUAAGUCUGAUGUGAAAUCCCCGGGCUCACCUGGGAAUUGCAUUGGAGACUGCAAGGCUAGAAUCUGGCAGAGGGGGGUAGAAUUCCACGUGUAGCAUUGAAAUGCGUAGAUAUGUGGAGGAAC